AUGGCGCGGAUGAAGGUCAUCCAUGUCGCCGGCACCAAAGGUCAUCCAUGUCGCGCGGCCCGAUCGGGGAGCUCCGAUUCGUCUGCCCACCAGUCAGGUACGCCCUCUCCGCUCCGCCCCGAUUCACCCCUUGCAUCAGUACGACGAUGCCCUAGGAGCAAGGUAGCUCAAGGCAGAACCAGGGCUCUUGCCCGUGGAUCCUUCCGCACCCUAGUCCCGAUCCUGUGUGGCGUAGAAAUCCCUCUGCCCGUCUGCCGUAGCCGAGCUCCACGGUUGGUCGCUUGGUAUUUUUGA
RNAcentral lists this ribosomal RNA (294 nucleotides) under Triticum aestivum (bread wheat). Its description in RNAcentral is "partial small subunit ribosomal RNA". Lineage: Eukaryota; Viridiplantae; Streptophyta; Magnoliopsida; Poales; Poaceae. The record is from RNAcentral.